UCCAAAUGAUGAUCAUUUUGUGCCAGAUUUUAAAUGAUGGUUAUGAUUUAAUGAGCCUGAUGG
This 63-nucleotide small nucleolar RNA is filed under the name Clytia hemisphaerica. Lineage: Eukaryota; Metazoa; Cnidaria; Hydrozoa; Leptothecata; Clytiidae. The record is from RNAcentral.